RNAcentral lists this ribosomal RNA (1520 nucleotides) under Klebsiella pneumoniae. RNAcentral's name for it is "bacterial SSU rRNA". It matches the Rfam family "Bacterial small subunit ribosomal RNA". The record is from RNAcentral. Lineage: Bacteria; Pseudomonadati; Pseudomonadota; Gammaproteobacteria; Enterobacterales; Enterobacteriaceae. RNAcentral also lists the same sequence under 1 other name.
AGAGUUUGAUCAUGGCUCAGAUUGAACGCUGGCGGCAGGCCUAACACAUGCAAGUCGAGCGGUAGCACAGAGAGCUUGCUCUCGGGUGACGAGCGGCGGACGGGUGAGUAAUGUCUGGGAAACUGCCUGAUGGAGGGGGAUAACUACUGGAAACGGUAGCUAAUACCGCAUAACGUCGCAAGACCAAAGUGGGGGACCUUCGGGCCUCAUGCCAUCAGAUGUGCCCAGAUGGGAUUAGCUGGUAGGUGGGGUAACGGCUCACCUAGGCGACGAUCCCUAGCUGGUCUGAGAGGAUGACCAGCCACACUGGAACUGAGACACGGUCCAGACUCCUACGGGAGGCAGCAGUGGGGAAUAUUGCACAAUGGGCGCAAGCCUGAUGCAGCCAUGCCGCGUGUGUGAAGAAGGCCUUCGGGUUGUAAAGCACUUUCAGCGGGGAGGAAGGCGGUGAGGUUAAUAACCUCACCGAUUGACGUUACCCGCAGAAGAAGCACCGGCUAACUCCGUGCCAGCAGCCGCGGUAAUACGGAGGGUGCAAGCGUUAAUCGGAAUUACUGGGCGUAAAGCGCACGCAGGCGGUCUGUCAAGUCGGAUGUGAAAUCCCCGGGCUCAACCUGGGAACUGCAUUCGAAACUGGCAGGCUAGAGUCUUGUAGAGGGGGGUAGAAUUCCAGGUGUAGCGGUGAAAUGCGUAGAGAUCUGGAGGAAUACCGGUGGCGAAGGCGGCCCCCUGGACAAAGACUGACGCUCAGGUGCGAAAGCGUGGGGAGCAAACAGGAUUAGAUACCCUGGUAGUCCACGCUGUAAACGAUGUCGAUUUGGAGGUUGUGCCCUUGAGGCGUGGCUUCCGGAGCUAACGCGUUAAAUCGACCGCCUGGGGAGUACGGCCGCAAGGUUAAAACUCAAAUGAAUUGACGGGGGCCCGCACAAGCGGUGGAGCAUGUGGUUUAAUUCGAUGCAACGCGAAGAACCUUACCUGGUCUUGACAUCCACAGAACUUAGCAGAGAUGCUUUGGUGCCUUCGGGAACUGUGAGACAGGUGCUGCAUGGCUGUCGUCAGCUCGUGUUGUGAAAUGUUGGGUUAAGUCCCGCAACGAGCGCAACCCUUAUCCUUUGUUGCCAGCGGUUAGGCCGGGAACUCAAAGGAGACUGCCAGUGAUAAACUGGAGGAAGGUGGGGAUGACGUCAAGUCAUCAUGGCCCUUACGACCAGGGCUACACACGUGCUACAAUGGCAUAUACAAAGAGAAGCGACCUCGCGAGAGCAAGCGGACCUCAUAAAGUAUGUCGUAGUCCGGAUUGGAGUCUGCAACUCGACUCCAUGAAGUCGGAAUCGCUAGUAAUCGUAGAUCAGAAUGCUACGGUGAAUACGUUCCCGGGCCUUGUACACACCGCCCGUCACACCAUGGGAGUGGGUUGCAAAAGAAGUAGGUAGCUUAACCUUCGGGAGGGCGCUUACCACUUUGUGAUUCAUGACUGGGGUGAAGUCGUAACAAGGUAACCGUAGGGGAACCUGCGGUUG